UUCGCUUGGUUAUUGGAUCUCUUACGAAACGUGUUUAACUUUACCCAAAUCCGGUUCCCCACCCGACACCAACCCCUCUAUCCCUCGUCUUUCUCUCAUCCUUCUCUCGAUCUAGAGAGAGAGAGAGAGAGAGAGAGAGCUGAGGAGAUGGCAAUGUCAACAAGGAUUUGGCGGACGAGGCGGAGCGGGAGCUGCAUUACUGGUGAUAAUGACACCACUACAACUUCAAGCGCAAGUCCAUUGAAGGUCUUGAACCUGGUUGAUACUUAACACACCACAAAGCCACUUUGCAAAUCCUCUCAGCUUUAUCUCGGUCAUUGUGUUCUAUCUGUUGGGUUCAGCCCCAUUGAGGGCUGGGAAUUAAGUCGGGCUUCAGCUCAUUACCUAAGAUAUAUAUAUAUAUAUAUAUAUAUCAACAAUGGACAAGGGCAAAACUAGAAAACCAAUUAGGUGAAGAAAAUAGGCUGCAGAGCUAUAGUUAGAGAUGAAAGGAAGGUGAGAAAGAGAAAGGAAGAGAGAAAGAAAAGAGCACAAGAAGAAGGAGGUGAAGUUGGGUUGCAAGAUGAUCGGACGGCGAAGUCAAGCCGGAUUUAGCGCUGAUUUGAGGAAGAGAAUCCUUGCAAGUUGCCCUACAAAUCUAUCGGUUUGAUCCCUCUUUGAUCUCUUUGUUGGUGUUUGUUGUGAUACUCAUUGUUUUUGAGAUCUAGAUCUUUUCUUGAAGUUGUCUCUUGUGAAUCCAUCUUGUGUUGAUGAUGCUCAUCUUGUUAUGAACCUCUACCUUGUGUCCAGAAUUGUGAAGAUUGUAAUCCUAUUGUUGAUACAUUGUAAAAGUAUUUAAAAGGUUCUAAGGAGUCAUGUGGUUUUUUUCCCUCGAUUUAGAGGGGGUUUUCAUGCUAAAAGCUUGUUGUUAGCUUGCUUUGUUGUUUUA
Long non-coding RNA from Dioscorea cayenensis subsp. rotundata (Guinea yam), 928 nucleotides. RefSeq lists it as uncharacterized. The transcript is spliced from 2 exons. Lineage: Eukaryota; Viridiplantae; Streptophyta; Magnoliopsida; Dioscoreales; Dioscoreaceae. The record is from RefSeq and is a predicted model, not a curated record.